Molecule: ribosomal RNA, 405 nt
Filed under: uncultured bacterium
Lineage: Bacteria
Description: bacterial SSU rRNA
Rfam family: Bacterial small subunit ribosomal RNA
Source: RNAcentral
UGGGGGAUAUUGCACAAUGGGGGAAACCCUGAUGCAGCAACGCCGCGUGAACGAAGAAGGUCUUCGGAUUGUAAAGUUCUGUUCUUGGUGAAGAUAAUGACGGUAGCCAAGGAGAAAGCUCCGGCUAACUACGUGCCAGCAGCCGCGGUAAUACGUAGGGAGCGAGCGUUGUCCGGAUUUACUGGGUGUAAAGGGUGCGCAGGCGGCUCUGCAAGUCAGGCGUGAAAGCUAGGGGCUCAACCCCUAAACUGCGCUUGAAACUGUGGAGCUUGAGUGAAGUAGAGGCAGGCGGAAUUCCCGGUGUAGCGGUGAAAUGCGUAGAGAUCGGGAGGAACACCAGUGGCGAAGGCGGCCUGCUGGGCUUUAACUGACGCUCAGGCACGAAAGCAUGGGUAGCAAACAGGA